AAAAAUUAAAUAAAUUAAUAUUUUAUUAAUUUAGUCUCCUAUGGCGUUCUAGCAUUUUCCUAUAAAUAGAUGCUUAGGUUAGAAUUGAAAAUCAUACCAGAAACAAGUUUUCUUUCUCUCUAGAUUAUCGAGCGUAUUUUUGUGAGUAUUUUGAUACUUUGAGAGUUACUGUUCGGUACAAGUUUCCUUCAACUUUCUAUCCGAUAUUCCGAUCAGAAGUACAGUUAUUUUGAGGUACGGGAUGUUAUUUUCUUCUUAAAUGAUAUUAUUUUCUUCAAUAUCAUUAUGCCAAAAUAUUGGUGAACUUUUUAAUCAAAUUUGGAACUUUUUGUGUCAGAGUUACUAUUCACGUAUACGGCACUAUUCACAAAUACGACACUAUUCACCAAAAAAUAAAAAAAUUUCUUUUUGUCCAAGAU
This 419-nucleotide long non-coding RNA is filed under the name Panax ginseng (ginseng). Its description in RNAcentral is "long non-coding RNA (PGIN_LNC019221)". Lineage: Eukaryota; Viridiplantae; Streptophyta; Magnoliopsida; Apiales; Araliaceae. The record is from RNAcentral.